Molecule: ribosomal RNA, 253 nt
Filed under: uncultured bacterium
Lineage: Bacteria
Description: partial 16S ribosomal RNA
Rfam family: Bacterial small subunit ribosomal RNA
Source: RNAcentral
UACGGAGGGGGCUAGCGUUGUUCGGAAUUACUGGGCGUAAAGCGCGCGUAGGCGGAGAUCCAAGUCGGGGGUGAAAUCCCGGGGCUCAACCCCGGAACUGCCUCCGAUACUGGUUCUCUGGAGGACGGGAGAGGCGAGUGGAAUGCCGAGUUUAGAGGUGAAAUUCGUAGAUAUUCGGCGGAACACCCGUGGCGACGGCGGCUCGCUGGUCCGUUUCUGACGCUGAGGCGCGAAAGCGUGGGGAGCAAACAGG